RNAcentral lists this ribosomal RNA (450 nucleotides) under uncultured bacterium. RNAcentral describes it as "partial 16S ribosomal RNA". It matches the Rfam family "Bacterial small subunit ribosomal RNA", at positions 354 to 796 of the family's 1533-position model. The record is from RNAcentral.
GUGGGGAAUUUUGGACAAUGGGCGAAAGCCUGAUCCAACCAUGCCGCGUGCAGGAUGAAGGCCUUCGGGUUGUAAACUGCUUUUGUACGGAACGAAAAGACUCCUUCUAAUAAAGGGGGUCCAUGACGGUACCGUAAGAAUAAGCACCGGCUAACUACGUGCCAGCAGCCGCGGUAAUACGUAGGGUGCAAGCGUUAAUCGGAAUUACUGGGCGUAAAGCGUGCGCAGGCGGUUAUAUAAGACAGAUGUGAAAUCCCCGGGCUCAACCUGGGAACUGCAUUUGUGACUGUAUAGCUAGAGUACGGUAGAGGGGGAUGGAAUUCCGCGUGUAGCAGUGAAAUGCGUAGAUAUGCGGAGGAACACCGAUGGCGAAGGCAAUCCCCUGGACCUGUACUGACGCUCAUGCACGAAAGCGUGGGGAGCAAACAGGAUUAGAUACCCCUGUAGUCC